Molecule: RNase P RNA, 390 nt
Filed under: Aliiroseovarius crassostreae
Lineage: Bacteria; Pseudomonadati; Pseudomonadota; Alphaproteobacteria; Rhodobacterales; Paracoccaceae
Description: RNase P RNA component class A
Rfam family: Bacterial RNase P class A
About the family: Ribonuclease P (RNase P) is a ubiquitous endoribonuclease, found in archaea, bacteria and eukarya as well as chloroplasts and mitochondria.
Source: RNAcentral
GCGGAUGGCCGGAUGACCGCGGGUGACUGUCAGGGCGUGCCCAGGCGUGACGCGAGGAAAGUCCGGACUCCAUAAGGCAACGGUGCCGGGUAACGCCCGGCGGGGGCAACCCCAGGGACAGCGCCACAGAGAAAAGACGGCCCUGCAUGUCGGGGUCAGGGUGAAACGGUGGGGUAAGAGCCCACCGCGCGACUGGCAACAGAAGCGGCACGGCAAGCCCCACCGGGAGCAAUGCCAAAUAGGAAUCGCUAGGGGGCAACCCCGGGGCUGCCUUGGCCUUCGCAGAUUCGGGUUGGCAGCUUGAGCGCCCUGGCAACAGGUCGCCUAGAGGAAUGGUCAUCCAGGGUGGAAACACCCGGACAAAAUCCGGCUUACAGGCCGUCCGCGUAU